Molecule: ribosomal RNA, 274 nt
Filed under: uncultured bacterium
Lineage: Bacteria
Description: partial 16S ribosomal RNA
Rfam family: Bacterial small subunit ribosomal RNA
Source: RNAcentral
AUACAGAGGGUGCGAGCGUUAAUCGGAAUUACUGGGCGUAAAGCGCGCGUAGGCGGCUUAUUAAGUCAGAUGUGAUAUCCCCGGGCUCAACCUGGGAACUGCAUCUGAUACUGGUAAGCUAGAGUUUGGGAGAGGGAAGUAGAAUUUCAGGUGUAGCGGUGAAAUGCAUAGAGAUCUGAAGGAAUACCAGUGGCGAAGGCGACUUCCUGGACUAAAACUGACGCUGAGGUGCGAAAGCGUGGGUAGCAAACGGGAUUAGAUACCCCUGUAGUCC